UACGUAGGGUGCGAGCGUUGUCCGGAAUUAUUGGGCGUAAAGGGCUCGUAGGCGGUUUGUCGCGUCGGGAGUGAAAUCCACUGGCUUAACUGGUGGCUUGCUUUCGAUACGGGCAGACUGGAGGUAUGCAGGGGAGAACGGAAUUCCUGGUGUAGCGGUGAAAUGCGCAGAUAUCAGGAGGAACACCGGUGGCGAAGGCGGUUCUCUGGGCAUGUCCUGACGCUGAGGCGCGAAAGCCAGGGGAGCAAACGGG
Molecule: ribosomal RNA, 253 nt
Filed under: uncultured bacterium
Lineage: Bacteria
Description: partial 16S ribosomal RNA
Rfam family: Bacterial small subunit ribosomal RNA
Source: RNAcentral